RNAcentral lists this unclassified non-coding RNA (1250 nucleotides) under Rhopalosiphum maidis (corn leaf aphid). RNAcentral describes it as "breast cancer metastasis-suppressor 1-like protein, transcript variant X3". The record is from RNAcentral. Lineage: Eukaryota; Metazoa; Arthropoda; Insecta; Hemiptera; Aphididae.
UUAAGUAAUAAUUCUGGAUUUCUAACGAUGUCUACAGCUACAAGCAGUGAUAAUUCAGACAUCAUUAGUAAAAUUCAAAAAAUAGCUGAAGAAAGUGGAAACAACGUUUUAGUGCGUAAAAUUGUGUGUACUGAAAAAAUUAUAGACAUUCCUUACAAUAAGAAAAAAUAUUCUGAAAUAUCCAUAUCAUCGUUAAGUAGUUCUUCAGAGUCAAAUAUUUCAGAUUCUGAUACUGACAAUAGUUCAGAUUUGAACAGCGACGUGAACGAAAAAUUACAGGACAAGUGUGACGAACAAGUACAAAAUAUUGAAACACAUUUUUAUUUCUUAAAAGAAAUGUUGUAUAGUGAAAGAAUAAGAGAAGUUGAAGAGAAGUUAGUUGAAGUGAGAUUAGGUACAGCUAAAGAAUACCGUAUACCUUUACAAGAAUUACAAGAUCAAAUGAAAUCUCGACUUGAAGUAGCAUCUGUACUAAGACAAUUUAAAUUAACAAAUUUAAAACAUAAAUAUGAAGCAGAAGAACAAGCAAUAAGACAAAAUUUUGAGAAUAAUAAAGAAAUUUUAUAUGAUACUAUAAAAGCUGAUUUAGAAGAAAAAAUUCAGCGAUUAGAAGAAGCACGUAAUGAAGUAGAUAUAGAUGCCUCUCUUUGGUUAGGUCGUAGUUUAACUCGUAGUGGACGAGGACGUGGAAGACGUCCAUAUGGGCAUGUACAACCCAAGCGGAAACCUGUUAUUGUAUCUGGACCAUGUAUAGUGUACAACCUUAGAGAACAUGAAAUACUUGAAGAUUGGACCACAAUCAAAAAAUUGUUAUCAUCAUCAAAACGAAAAGAAAAUGCAGUGCAACGAUAUAAACCAUAUGAAUACUGCAAUAAAGUAUUUCAACUGAUUACAACAUACGGAAACAUCAACAUUGGUUAUACUAUUAAUUUAUUUUUAUAGUCAUUAAACAUUUACCCGAAUCUCCAACAACCAACACUUUAACGCUGUCGGUUGAAGCCAUUGAAAUCUCCAUUUUUAAAAGAAAAUUUAAACGGCGACUCAAUGUUGUUUAGCAACUGAAAUAUUGGAAAUAGAAUAUUUUAAACUCCACAACAAUAGUGAUUAUAUUCGUAUCAUGAGUAGAGCAUAAUGGGCAUAUUUUGUUUAUUACAUGGAUAUGUCCGGUCUAUCGAGAUAUAAACGCUCGCUACAAUUUUCCUUUUAUUUAGCCAUUGGCUACACUGUAAACGUUCCCACCCACUACGAAU